This is a long non-coding RNA of Sinocyclocheilus anshuiensis, 224 nucleotides long. RefSeq lists it as uncharacterized. Lineage: Eukaryota; Metazoa; Chordata; Actinopteri; Cypriniformes; Cyprinidae. The transcript has 3 exons. The record is from RefSeq and is a predicted model, not a curated record.
UACUAAUCAAGGUCUAAGGGUUACUGGAGUUAAGACUCAAUGUUGGCAUGUUCUGAAGGAAUUUGAUUCUUAUUUUAUUCACAAACGAUCUGUGAGUUUGAGGAUUAAUAGUUAAUUGCUUUUUCAAGUGCUUCCUUGUCGCUGGAAAUGGUGCCUGAAGUCUGGUAUUAAACCCAUUUUUGUAAAACAUUCUAUUCAGGAGACUCAACAGCUGCCCAGGUGAG